This 252-nucleotide long non-coding RNA is filed under the name Callithrix jacchus (white-tufted-ear marmoset). RNAcentral's name for it is "lncRNA (ENSCJAG00000079809.1)". The record is from RNAcentral. Lineage: Eukaryota; Metazoa; Chordata; Mammalia; Primates; Cebidae.
GCUGAGAGAAGGGGGUCUCCUUCCUUACUUCCAGUGCUGCUUAAAGGUAGAAUGAGGGAGAUUAAGAAUGGACCAAGUGCUCUGGUCACUGAAUAAGAAAGGGAUUGAGUGUGGGCAUUUGCUGUCUGGGGCCAGCUGGAGAAAACACAGACCCAUGUGCUGAACUCAGCCUUCUCUCUUGGGGAGGAGGCAGGUAGAAUUUCAUUCAGAAUGAAAACAGGAAGGAAAUAUUCUCUAAGCAAUAAAUGGUAU